ACUGGAGCAGCUGGGGGCUGUCUGGGCACCUCUCUCCUUGUAGUCUCAUGUCUCUGGGUGGUCUCUCCAUCUGGGCUAGUUUGGGCUCCCUCAUAGCACACUGGCCUUAAGAC
Molecule: microRNA precursor, 113 nt
Filed under: Chlorocebus sabaeus (green monkey)
Lineage: Eukaryota; Metazoa; Chordata; Mammalia; Primates; Cercopithecidae
Description: miRNA (ENSCSAG00000024363.1)
Source: RNAcentral